Molecule: ribosomal RNA, 1153 nt
Filed under: Cutibacterium acnes
Lineage: Bacteria; Bacillati; Actinomycetota; Actinomycetes; Propionibacteriales; Propionibacteriaceae
Description: bacterial SSU rRNA
Rfam family: Bacterial small subunit ribosomal RNA
Source: RNAcentral
CUUCAGGAAACUGGGGCUAAUACCGGGAUAGGAGCUCUGCUGCAUGGUGGGGGUUGGAAAGUUUCGGCGGUUGGGGAUGGACUCGCGGCUUAUCAGCUUGUUGGUGGGGUAGUGGCUUACCAAGGCUUUGACGGGUAGCCGGCCUGAGAGGGUGACCGGCCACAUUGGGACUGAGAUACGGCCCAGACUCCUACGGGAGGCAGCAGUGGGGAAUAUUGCACAAUGGGCGGAAGCCUGAUGCAGCAACGCCGCGUGCGGGAUGACGGCCUUCGGGUUGUAAACCGCUUUCGCCUGUGACGAAGCGUGAGUGACGGUAAUGGGUAAAGAAGCACCGGCUAACUACGUGCCAGCAGCCGCGGUGAUACGUAGGGUGCGAGCGUUGUCCGGAUUUAUUGGGCGUAAAGGGCUCGUAGGUGGUUGAUCGCGUCGGAAGUGUAAUCUUGGGGCUUAACCCUGAGCGUGCUUUCGAUACGGGUUGACUUGAGGAAGGUAGGGGAGAAUGGAAUUCCUGGUGGAGCGGUGGAAUGCGCAGAUAUCAGGAGGAACACCAGUGGCGAAGGCGGUUCUCUGGGCCUUUCCUGACGCUGAGGAGCGAAAGCGUGGGGAGCGAACAGGCUUAGAUACCCUGGUAGUCCACGCUGUAAACGGUGGGUACUAGGUGUGGGGUCCAUUCCACGGGUUCCGUGCCGUAGCUAACGCUUUAAGUACCCCGCCUGGGGAGUACGGCCGCAAGGCUAAAACUCAAAGGAAUUGACGGGGCCCCGCACAAGCGGCGGAGCAUGCGGAUUAAUUCGAUGCAACGCGUAGAACCUUACCUGGGUUUGACAUGGAUCGGGAGUGCUCAGAGAUGGGUGUGCCUCUUUUGGGGUCGGUUCACAGGUGGUGCAUGGCUGUCGUCAGCUCGUGUCGUGAGAUGUUGGGUUAAGUCCCGCAACGAGCGCAACCCUUGUUCACUGUUGCCAGCACGUUAUGGUGGGGACUCAGUGGAGACCGCCGGGGUCAACUCGGAGGAAGGUGGGGAUGACGUCAAGUCAUCAUGCCCCUUAUGUCCAGGGCUUCACGCAUGCUACAAUGGCUGGUACAGAGAGUGGCGAGCCUGUGAGGGUGAGCGAAUCUCGGAAAGCCGGUCUCAGUUCGGAUUGGGGUCUGCAAC